Non-coding RNA from Podarcis lilfordi (Lilford's wall lizard), 76 nucleotides. The record is from the annotation of a GenBank genome assembly. Lineage: Eukaryota; Metazoa; Chordata; Lepidosauria; Squamata; Lacertidae.
GUGUGUGUGUGUAGAUAUAUACAUACAUACAUACAUACAUAUACAUAUAUAUAUAUAUAUAUAUACACACACACAC